GUUGUGUGUUGUGUAGGGCGUAUAGUGGAUGCCUGUGGUAUAUCGAGCCGAUGAAGGACGUGAGAGGCUGCGUUAAGCCUCGGGGAGUUGUCAGCUAAGCGUUGAUCCGAGGAUGUCCGAAUGGGGUAACCUGGCCAUCGUUAUGGGUGGUGACCACGUGGUGAAUGUAUAGCCAUGGUGGGGGUAACGCGGGGAAGUGAAACAUCUUAGUACCCGUAGGAAGAGAAAACAAUUUGUGAUUUCGUGAGUAGUGGCGAGCGAAAGCGGAUGAGGCUAAACCUGGUGUGUGUGAUACGUGGCAGUGGUUGCAUGCUAGGGGUUGUGGGGUUUUUUGCGUAACAGUUCUGCCAGGCUGUUGAUUGUUGUGGUUGCAAGAGCGGAAGUGGUGUGGGAGCACUCGUCGUAGAAGGUGAUAGCCCUGUACGUGUACUUGUGAUUGUGAUGGUUUGUGAAUUGUCCCCGAGUAGCAGCGGGCUCGUGGAAUCUGCUGUGAAUCUGCCGGGACCACUCGGUAAGCCUAAAUACUUGAUAUGACCGAUAGUGGAUUAAGUACCGUGAGGGAAUGGUGAAAAGUACCCCGGGAGGGGAGUGAAAUAGUACCUGAAACUGUGCGCUAACAAUCCGUCAGAGCCUCUGUGUGGGGUGAUGGCGUGCCUUUUGAAGAAUGAGCCUGCGAGUCAGCGGCAUGUCGCUUGGGUUAACCUUUGGUGGGUAGCCGUAGCGAAAGCGAAUCCUCAUGGGGUGUGUGUGGCAUGUCCUGGACCCGAAGCGGAGUGAUCUACCCAUGGCCAGUGUGAAGCAAUUGUAAGAGGUUGUGGAGGCGCGAACCCACUUAGGUUGAAAACUGAGGGGAUGAGUUGUGGGUAGGGGUGAAAGGCUAAUCAAACUCCGUGAUAGCUGGUUCUCCCCGAAAUGCAUUUAGGUGCAGCGUUGUGUGUGCUUGCUGGAGGUAGAGCUACUGGUUGGUUUAGCGGGACGAUCAUCUUAGCGAUAUCAGCCAAACUCCGAAUGCCGGUAAGUGUGAGCAUGGCAGUGAGACUGUGGGGGAUAAGCUUCAUAGUCGAGAGGGAAACAGCCCAGAUCGCCGGCUAAGGCCCCUAAGGGUGUGCUAAGUGGAAAAGGAUGUGGGAUCGCGAAGACAGCCAGGAGGUUGGCUUAGAAGCAGCCAUCCUUGAAAGAGUGCGUAAUAGCUCACUGGUCGAGUGGUUCUGCGCCGACAAUGUAGUGGGGCUUAAGUACACCGCCGAAGCCGCGGCAAGAACACAUGUUUGGUGUGUUGUUGGGUAGGGGAGCGUCGUGUAUGUGGUGAAGUUGCCGGGUGACCGUGUGAUGGAGUGUACGCGAGUGAGAAUGCAGGCAUGAGUAACGAUUGAUAAGUGAGAAUCUUAUCCGCCGUAUGACUAAGGGUUCCUGGGUCAAGUUCGUCUUCCCAGGGUGAGUCGGGUCCUAAGGCGAGGCCGUCAGGCGUAGUCGAUGGAUAACGGGUUGAUAUUCCCGUACCUGUAUGCAUGCGACCAUGAUGAAUCAGUGAUACUAACUUUCGUGCUGUUGCAUUAUUGUGCUGCGCAUCCUUUUGUGGGUGUGUGGUUGGUGUGAUGGUGUUGGGAGGGCCUGAUCUGGUAGUAGUCAAGUGAUGGAGUGACGUAGUAGGGUAGCUAAGCCAUCUGGUGGUUAUGGUGGUGUAAGCGUGUGGCCUAAAGGCUAGGGAAAUCCGGUCUUUGUUUGUAAAGGUGAGGCGUGAUGCGUAGCCCUUUUUGUGGGUGAUGUUAGUGAUCCUGUGCUACCGAGAAAAGCUUCUAGCGAUGUGUGUGUACGGCCCGUACCCGAAACCGACACAGGUAGUUGGGUAGAGCAUACUAAGGCGUUCGGGUGAACUGUGGUUAAGGAACUCGGCAAAAUGCCCCCGUAACUUCGGGAGAAGGGGGGCCGCUGGUGGUGCCCCAUGUUGUCUGUGGUGGUGCUGUUGGUGGUCGCAGAGGAUAGAGGGAAGCGACUGUUUAUCAAAAACACAGGUCCGUGCGAAGACGGUUAAGUUGAGGUAUACGGACUGACGCCUGCCCGGUGCUGGAAGGUUAAGAGGACCUGUUAAACCCUUGUUGUGGGUUGAAGCGGAGAAUUUAAGCCCCAGUAAACGGCGGUGGUAACUAUAACCAUCCUAAGGUAGCGAAAUUCCUUGUCGGGUAAGUUCCGACCUGCACGAAUGGCGUAACGACUUCCCUGCUGUCUCAAUCACAGGCCCGGUGAAAUUGCAGUACGAGUAAAGAUGCUCGUUACGCGCGGCAGGACGAAAAGACCCCGGGACCUUUACUAUAGCUUGGUAUUGGUGUUCGGUUCGGUUUGUGUAGGAUAGGUGGGAGACUGUGAGGUUAUCACGCUAGUGGUAGCGGAGUCGUUGGUGAAAUACCACUCUGGCCGGAUUGGAUGUCUUAACCUUGGCCCAUGAUCUGGGUUGGGGACAGUGCCUGGUGGGUAGUUUAACUGGGGCGGUUGCCUCCUAAAAGGUAACGGAGGCGCCCAAAGGUUCCCUCAGCCUGGUUGGUAAUCAGGUUUUAGAGUGUAAGUGCAUAAGGGGGCUUGACUGUGAGACUGACAGGUCGAGCAGGAACGAAAGUUGGGACUAGUGAUCCGGCAUCUCAUUGUGGUUUGGGUGUCGCUCAACGGAUAAAAGGUACCCCGGGGAUAACAGGCUGAUCUUCCCCAAGAGUCCAUAUCGACGGGAUGGUUUGGCACCUCGAUGUCGGCUCGUCGCAUCCUGGGGCUGGAGUAGGUCCCAAGGGUUGGGCUGUUCGCCCAUUAAAGCGGCACGCGAGCUGGGUUCAGAACGUCGUGAGACAGUUCGGUCUCUAUCCGCCGCGCGCGUGGAAACUUGAUGAAAGGCUGUCCCUAGUACGAGAGGACCGGGACGGACGUACCUCUGGUGUGCCAGUUAUUGUGCCUAUGGUAUGGCUGGUUAGCUACGUGCGGGAGGGAUAACCGCUGAAAGCAUCUAAGCGGGAAGCCUGUUUUAAGAUAAGGUUUCUUUUGAGGUUCCCUAGAGAUGAUGGGGUUGAUAGGCCGGGGUUGUAAGCCUUGUGAGGGGUUGAGAUGACCGGUACUAAUAGACCGAUAGCACACAAA
RNAcentral lists this ribosomal RNA (3117 nucleotides) under Corynebacterium poyangense. Its description in RNAcentral is "23S ribosomal RNA". It matches the Rfam family "Bacterial large subunit ribosomal RNA". Lineage: Bacteria; Bacillati; Actinomycetota; Actinomycetes; Mycobacteriales; Corynebacteriaceae. The record is from RNAcentral.